GACGAACGCUGGCGGCGUGCUUAACACAUGCAAGUCGAACGGAAAGGCUCCAGCUUGCUGGAGUGCUCGAGUGGCGAACGGGUGAGUAACACGUGGGCAAUCUGCCCUGCACUCUGGGAUAAGCCGGGGAAACUGGGUCUAAUACCGGAUAGGACCUUUCUCCUCAUGGGGUUGGGUGGAAAGUUUUUCGGUGCAGGAUGAGCCCGCGGCCUAUCAGCUUGUUGGGGGGGUAAUGGCCUACCAAGGCGACGACGGGUAGCCGGCCUGAGAGGGUGAUCGGCCACAUUGGCACUGAGAUACGCCCCCGACUCCUACGGGAGCCAGCAGUGGGGAAUAUUGCACGAUUGGCGAAAGCCUGAUGCAGCGACUCCGCGUGAGGGAUGACGGCCUUCGGGUUCUCAGCCUCUUUCAGUAGGGACGAAGCGCAAGUGACGGUACCUGCAGAAGAAGCACCGGCUAACUACGUG
This 467-nucleotide ribosomal RNA is filed under the name uncultured bacterium. RNAcentral describes it as "partial 16S ribosomal RNA". It matches the Rfam family "Bacterial small subunit ribosomal RNA", at positions 28 to 507 of the family's 1533-position model. The record is from RNAcentral.